GCCAGACUCCUACGGGAGGCAGCAGUGGGGGAUAUUGCACAAUGGGGGAAACCCUGAUGCAGCGACGCCGCGUGGGUGAAGAAGCGCCUCGGCGCGUAAAGCCCUGUCAGCAGGGAAGAAAAUGACGGUACCUGAAGAAGAAGCCCCGGCUAACUACGUGCCAGCAGCCGCGGUAAUACGUAGGGGGCAAGCGUUAUCCGGAUUUACUAGGUGUAAAGGGAGCGUAGACGGCUGUGCAAGUCUGAAGUGAAAGCCCGUGGCUCAACCGCGGAACUGCUUUGGAAACUGUAUAGCUUGAGUACUGGAGAGGCAGGCGGAAUUCCUAGUGUAGCGGUGAAAUGCGUAGAUAUUAGGGGGAACACCAGUGGCGAAGGCGGCCUGCUGGACAGAAACUGACGUUGAGGCUCGAAAGCGUGGGGAGCAAACAGGAUUAGAUACCCUGGUAU
This 446-nucleotide ribosomal RNA is filed under the name uncultured bacterium. RNAcentral describes it as "bacterial SSU rRNA". It matches the Rfam family "Bacterial small subunit ribosomal RNA", at positions 330 to 793 of the family's 1533-position model. The record is from RNAcentral.